Molecule: ribosomal RNA, 403 nt
Filed under: Verrucomicrobiota bacterium
Lineage: Bacteria; Pseudomonadati; Verrucomicrobiota
Description: Verrucomicrobia bacterium partial 16S ribosomal RNA
Rfam family: Bacterial small subunit ribosomal RNA
Source: RNAcentral
UGGGGAAUUUUGCACAAUGGGGGAAACCCUGAUGCAGCGACGCCGCGUGAUUUAGAAGGCCUUCGGGUUGUAAAAAUCUUUUGUAUGGGAAGAAAAUGACAGUACCAUACGAAUAAGGACCGGCUAACUACGUGCCAGCAGCCGCGGUAAUACGUAGGUGGCAAGCGUUGUCCGGAAUUAUUGGGCGUAAAGCGCGCGCAGGUGGUUUAGAAAGUCUGAUGUGAAAGCCCACGGCUCAACCGUGGAGGGUCAUUGGAAACUAAUAAACUUGAGUGCAGGAGAGAAAAGUGGAAUUCCUAGUGUAGCGGUGAAAUGCGUAGAGAUUAGGAGGAACACCGGUGGCGAAAGCGGCUUUUUGGCCUGCAACUGACACUGAGGCGCGAAAGCGUGGGGAGCAAACAGG